Molecule: long non-coding RNA, 534 nt
Organism: Mytilus californianus (California mussel)
Lineage: Eukaryota; Metazoa; Mollusca; Bivalvia; Mytilida; Mytilidae
Exons: 2
Source: RefSeq, a predicted model, not a curated record
AGAGGUAUGUGAAAUGGAAAGAAAGAGAUACAUGUACAUACAGAGACUGUUUGAAUUUAAGGUGUAAAAAUGAGCUACAUGUACCAGAAAAGAUGUUGAAAAUACCAGGGCUGGGCCUUUGUGGCUGCAUGCAAUUAAUUCUGAAAUACCAGGAAACAAGAUGUAGCUGCACAGCAGACAUGGCAGAUCUUUAAAUUGCUAAUAGGCAUCAACUCAACAUUUUCAAGCUGCAUAUAAAAGGAAAAGCAUUCCUUUUCAUAGAAUCCAAGAAUUUUUUUAACCAAGUCAAGUGGUUAUUAGACCUGUUAUCAUGAAAAUACUAACAUAUAUAUUAGUAUUUACAGUCACGUGUAAUAUCCCAAAUAUAAGAACUAUUUGGUAUGUGUGACUAUCUUUCUUCCCAUGUCAUGUUACAUGUAUGCUCAGAAUAUUUUAAUGUCACAAGGAUAUGAAAUGGAUAAAUGAUAUAUUGUCAACCAUUUAAAUAAAACAGACAGGCUCACAUAUAAAUUAACUGUCUAUGUGAAAGUUCAA